This 402-nucleotide ribosomal RNA is filed under the name uncultured bacterium. Its description in RNAcentral is "bacterial SSU rRNA". It matches the Rfam family "Bacterial small subunit ribosomal RNA", at positions 356 to 773 of the family's 1533-position model. The record is from RNAcentral.
GGGGAAUAUUGGGCAAUGGGCGCAAGCCUGACCCAGCAACGCCGCGUGAAGGAAGAAGGCUUUCGGGUUGUAAACUUCUUUUGUCAGGGAAGAGUAGAAGACUGUACCUGGCGAAUAAGCCACGGCUAACUACGUGCCAGCAGCCGCGGUAAUACGUAGGUGGCAAGCGUUGUCCGGAUUUACUGGGUGUAAAGGGCGUGUAGCCGGGAAGGCAAGUCAGAUGUGAAAUCUGGAGGCUCAACCUCCAAACUGCAUUUGAAACUGUGUUUCUUGAGUAUCGGAGAGGCAAUCGGAAUUCCUAGUGUAGCGGUGAAAUGCGUAGAUAUUAGGAGGAACACCAGUGGCGAAGGCGGAUUGCUGGACGGCAACUGACGGUGAGGCGCGAAAGCGUGGGGAGCAAAC